GAUGAACGCUGGCGGCGUGCCUAAUACAUGCAAGUCGAACGCUGGAAAUCUAGAUUGCUAGAUUGAAGGAGUGGCGAACGGGUGAGUAAUACAUAAGCAACCUACCCACGAAGACUGGGAUAAUCUCUGGAAACGGGGACUAAUACCGGAUAGGUAAUCGGAAGGCAUCUUCUGAUUAUUAAAGGUUAAAAACACUGGUGGAUGGGCUUAUGGCGCAUUAGUUAGUUGGUGAGGUAACGGCCCACCAAGACGAUGAUGCGUAGCCGGCCUGAGAGGGUGAACGGCCACAUUGGGACUGAGCCACGGCCCAGACUCCUACGGGAGGCAGCAGUAGGGAAUUUUCGGCAAUGGGGGAAACCCUGACCGAGCAACGCCGCGUGAGUGAUGACGGCCUUCGGGUUGUAAAGCUCUGUUGUAAGGGAAGAACGGUAGAUAGAGAAUAUCUAAAUGACGGUACCUUACCAGAAAGCCACGGCUAACUACGUG
Molecule: ribosomal RNA, 486 nt
Filed under: uncultured bacterium
Lineage: Bacteria
Description: partial 16S ribosomal RNA
Rfam family: Bacterial small subunit ribosomal RNA
Source: RNAcentral